Alnus glutinosa is the source of this 478-nucleotide long non-coding RNA. RefSeq lists it as uncharacterized. The transcript has 3 exons. Lineage: Eukaryota; Viridiplantae; Streptophyta; Magnoliopsida; Fagales; Betulaceae. The record is from RefSeq and is a predicted model, not a curated record.
AGGGGGGUGGGGGGGAGGUUUCUAUUGAAAAAUCUUCAUCUAUGGAGAUCCAAGAGUCCAAUAUCAAAUCUGACUUCGGGAACAUGAUCUACCUAUGUGGAUCUACGUUUUGACCGAUCGUUUUGAGGCUACCCAAACCUUCGGUAUUAGUUUGGUGAACUUUAGAUGAUGUUACUGUGGCUGCAGGUACACCUGACGCGGAUGAUGACCCCGUAGUAUUGUAUUUGGGUUAUUACAACUAGAGCUUGUCGCAAUGGUUAUAAUGUGAUGGACCGCGGGUUGUCCAUUCUUUUGUGUAUUUUGUUUAUGGCUUGUGACGUGUGCGUCACUUAUUCUUUUAUAUAAGCCAUCUUGUUGAUAUAUGAUGUAAUGAUGUUAAGCCUUAAACAGAUAGACUUGUGUUGGCUCUUUUUGUAUAAUCAUUAUUAUAUUCCGCUGUAAGGUGUAACUCUGAAUAUCAAGUGCAUGUUAUGGGGCA